RNAcentral lists this ribosomal RNA (323 nucleotides) under uncultured bacterium. RNAcentral describes it as "bacterial SSU rRNA". It matches the Rfam family "Bacterial small subunit ribosomal RNA", at positions 28 to 334 of the family's 1533-position model. The record is from RNAcentral.
GAUGAACGCUAGCGGCGUGCCUAACACAUGCAAGUCGAACGGACAUUUUUUGGAAAGCUCUUCGGAACUGGAAUCUAAAUGUUAGUGGCGGACGGGUGAGUAACGCGUGAGCAAUCUGCCUUUCAGAGGGGGAUAACAGCCGGAAACGGCUGCUAAUACCGCAUAAUGCAUCGGAUUCGCAUGUUGCAGGGGUAAAAACUCCGGUGGUAUGAGAUGGAUCCGCGUCUGAUUAGCUAGUUGGUAAGGUAACGGCUUACCAAGGCAACGAUCAGUAGCCGACCUGAGAGGGUGACCGGCCACAUUGGGACUGAGACACGGCCCAA